Long non-coding RNA from Peromyscus leucopus (white-footed mouse), 648 nucleotides. RefSeq lists it as uncharacterized. The record is from RefSeq and is a predicted model, not a curated record. The transcript is spliced from 4 exons. Lineage: Eukaryota; Metazoa; Chordata; Mammalia; Rodentia; Cricetidae.
UGACGGUUGAGUGUCAGGUCUAAAAAUAACUCCGGGGGCCACGAGACCUGGAGAGACCUCCGAGGACCGGUUAGGAGUGGGAGUGGGAACUCGGAGCGGCGGAUGGGUGCAGCUGCUCCUGGCAUUCCGUCUGCAACAAUCUGCACCCAGGGAGUCUCCGUGUGACCUGAGCUUGCCACUUGACGUCUCUCAUCUUAGAGACCAAGGUGUUGAUGCCUCCAUGCUGGGUUCCAUGGUCUGAGUGAUACGUCCAUCAUGGCGUCAGCUGUGCUAAGAGUCUCCAUCUUUCCAUUUUCCUUGUGUUGAUAGCCUCGUCAGUGGCUCCAUUUGUAUUUUUGGGGACAUGAGGAAACGACACAGCACCUGCCAGCUUUAUCAACUUUGCCUGGACCCCUUUGCUCCCUGUGGUUGCGUUUCUGUGUGGAGCAGAGGUCAGGGUCCAGGGAAGAGUCCUGCAUUUCUGCCAGUAUCAUAACCUCUGCUCACCUGCAGCUGUCCUUUCAGGUCUGACCUCAUUUGUUUGGAUGAUGACCAUGACAUCAUCAAUGUCAACUGGAAGCAGCUCUGUGCCUCAGUUUACCACCUACACAAUGAAGGGGCUACAGCGUAGUAUCUUACAAUUUUAAACAUUUAUGUAUUUAUUAUUUA